RNAcentral lists this ribosomal RNA (483 nucleotides) under Lactiplantibacillus plantarum. Its description in RNAcentral is "bacterial SSU rRNA". It matches the Rfam family "Bacterial small subunit ribosomal RNA", at positions 123 to 592 of the family's 1533-position model. Lineage: Bacteria; Bacillati; Bacillota; Bacilli; Lactobacillales; Lactobacillaceae. The record is from RNAcentral.
AACCUGCCCAGAAGCGGGGGAUAACACCUGGAAACAGAUGCUAAUACCGCAUAACAACUUGGACCGCAUGGUCCGAGUUUGAAAGAUGGCUUCGGCUAUCACUUUUGGAUGGUCCCGCGGCGUAUUAGCUAGAUGGUGGGGUAACGGCUCACCAUGGCAAUGAUACGUAGCCGACCUGAGAGGGUAAUCGGCCACAUUGGGACUGAGACACGGCCCAAACUCCUACGGGAGGCAGCAGUAGGGAAUCUUCCACAAUGGACGAAAGUCUGAUGGAGCAACGCCGCGUGAGUGAAGAAGGGUUUCGGCUCGUAAAACUCUGUUGUUAAAGAAGAACAUAUCUGAGAGUAACUGUUCAGGUAUUGACGGUAUUUAACCAGAAAGCCACGGCUAACUACGUGCCAGCAGCCGCGGUAAUACGUAGGUGGCAAGCGUUGUCCGGAUUUAUUGGGCGUAAAGCGAGCGCAGGCGGUUUUUUAAGUCUGA